GCAGUAGCCACGGGAAUACGAAGGGUGCAAGCGUUACUCGGAAUUACUGGGCGUAAAGCGUGCGUAGGUGGUGGUUUAAGUCCGUUGUGAAAGCCCUGGGCUCAACCUGGGAAUUGCAGUGGAUACUGGGUCACUAGAGUGUGGUAGAGGAUAGUGGAAUUUCCGGUGUAGCAGUGAAAUGCGUAGAGAUCGGAAGGAACAUCUGUGGCGAAGGCGACUAUCUGGGCCAACACUGACACUGAGGCACGAAAGCGUGGGGAGCAAACAGGAUUAGAUACCCGGGUAGUCCCUGUCUCUUAUAC
This 302-nucleotide ribosomal RNA is filed under the name uncultured bacterium. RNAcentral describes it as "partial 16S ribosomal RNA". It matches the Rfam family "Bacterial small subunit ribosomal RNA", at positions 508 to 807 of the family's 1533-position model. The record is from RNAcentral.